Molecule: ribosomal RNA, 440 nt
Filed under: uncultured bacterium
Lineage: Bacteria
Description: partial 16S ribosomal RNA
Rfam family: Bacterial small subunit ribosomal RNA
Source: RNAcentral
CCUACGGGAGGCAGCAGUGGGGAAUAUUGCACAAUGGGGGAAACCCUGAUGCAGCGACGCCGCGUGAGUGAAGAAGUAUUUCGGUACGUAAAGCUCUAUCAGCAGGGAAGAAAAUGACGGUACCUGACUAAGAAGCCCCGGCUAACUACGUGCCAGCAGCCGCGGUAAUACGUAGGGGGCAAGCGUUAUCCGGAUUUACUGGGUGUAAAGGGAGCGUAGACGGCAGCGCAAGUCUGGAGUGAAAUGCCAUGGCUUAACCAUGGAACUGCUUUGGAAACUGUGCAGCUAGAGUGCAGGAGAGGUAAGCGGAAUUCCUAGUGUAGCGGUGAAAUGCGUAGAUAUUAGGAGGAACACCAGUGGCGAAGGCGGCUUACUGGACUGUAACUGACGUUGAGGCUCGAAAGCGUGGGGAGCAAACAGGAUUAGAUACCCGAGUAGUC